This 766-nucleotide ribosomal RNA is filed under the name Streptomyces sp. B1Y33. RNAcentral describes it as "bacterial SSU rRNA". It matches the Rfam family "Bacterial small subunit ribosomal RNA", at positions 74 to 853 of the family's 1533-position model. Lineage: Bacteria; Bacillati; Actinomycetota; Actinomycetes; Kitasatosporales; Streptomycetaceae. The record is from RNAcentral.
CCUCCUUCGGGAGGGGAUUAGUGGCGAACGGGUGAGUAACACGUGGGCAAUCUGCCCUUCACUCUGGGACAAGCCCUGGAAACGGGGUCUAAUACCGGAUACGAGCCUCCAAGGCAUCUUGGAGGUUGGAAAGCUCCGGCGGUGAAGGAUGAGCCCGCGGCCUAUCAGCUUGUUGGUGAGGUAAUGGCUCACCAAGGCGACGACGGGUAGCCGGCCUGAGAGGGCGACCGGCCACACUGGGACUGAGACACGGCCCAGACUCCUACGGGAGGCAGCAGUGGGGAAUAUUGCACAAUGGGCGAAAGCCUGAUGCAGCGACGCCGCGUGAGGGAUGACGGCCUUCGGGUUGUAAACCUCUUUCAGCAGGGAAGAAGCGAAAGUGACGGUACCUGCAGAAGAAGCGCCGGCUAACUACGUGCCAGCAGCCGCGGUAAUACGUAGGGCGCAAGCGUUGUCCGGAAUUAUUGGGCGUAAAGAGCUCGUAGGCGGCUUGUCACGUCGGGUGUGAAAGCCCGGGGCUUAACCCCGGGUCUGCAUUCGAUACGGGCUAGCUAGAGUGUGGUAGGGGAGAUCGGAAUUCCUGGUGUAGCGGUGAAAUGCGCAGAUAUCAGGAGGAACACCGGUGGCGAAGGCGGAUCUCUGGGCCAUUACUGACGCUGAGGAGCGAAAGCGUGGGGAGCGAACAGGAUUAGAUACCCUGGUAGUCCACGCCGUAAACGGUGGGAACUAGGUGUUGGCGACAUUCCACGUCGUCGGUGCCGCAGCU